UACGUAGGGCGCAAGCGUUGUCCGGAAUUAUUGGGCGUAAAGAGCUCGUAGGCGGUCUGUCGCGUCUGCUGUGAAAACUCAGGGCUUAACCCUGAGCUUGCAGUGGGUACGGGCAGACUAGAGUGCGGUAGGGGAGACUGGAAUUCCUGGUGUAGCGGUGAAAUGCGCAGAUAUCAGGAGGAACACCGGUGGCGAAGGCGGAUCUCUGGGCCUUGCCUGACGCUGGAGGCGCGGAAAGCGUUGGGUAGCAAACGGG
This 256-nucleotide ribosomal RNA is filed under the name uncultured bacterium. Its description in RNAcentral is "partial 16S ribosomal RNA". It matches the Rfam family "Bacterial small subunit ribosomal RNA", at positions 524 to 776 of the family's 1533-position model. The record is from RNAcentral.